CGCCGAACUGGCCAAGGCGACCGCCGGCUUGCCGAUGGGCGCGGCCGGGCGUCGGUUGCUGGGCACCGGUGCCCCAUGGUUCGAAUCCUGGCUGGACCA
RNAcentral lists this transfer RNA (99 nucleotides) under Mycolicibacterium senegalense. RNAcentral's name for it is "tRNA-OTHER". The record is from RNAcentral. Lineage: Bacteria; Bacillati; Actinomycetota; Actinomycetes; Mycobacteriales; Mycobacteriaceae.